CCCGUAUUAUAAUUGAUAUUAUGUGUUAAUAUACCGAAAAUGUCAGUAAAUCGAGGUGGUGCUGCUGUCUGUCCCGUCGAAAACCAUUCAAACAGGUUGCCAGCAGUGGGUUUUUUGCGAGCUACUCACCUAUACCAAGUGAUCACAUGUCGGCGAGAUCAUCGUAACUCUCUAUUUAUAUGGCUCUGGCCCAUUGGUUGGGAAUCGUCGCUCUCAUUUGCAUGAAGUUAAGCGCGUCAUCUUGCUAUGUUCACAUCCUGCAGUCGCGACCCUGUCACUUGUUUCCAUAUGAAAUAUAUGGUAUGCUUCACUACUUCGCGCAGUUGUUCGGUGUAUUGACAACAGCCCGUCACUCGCGCACUGUGCUCGUAAAUUAUUUUUCAAGUUCGCACAUACCUAUUUUUAGGCGCAAAUGCGAGUGAAAUACUCGCACUGUAGAGCCCUGCCCAACCCACAUAGCUUUAGUUUUUUUCCCACCUCAAACACACAUCUGUAAAAUUAUGUAAUUCAUACUUAUGGAAAUAACUAUAUAGUCAGAUACGGACAAUAGGUCUACAUAGCCGUGUAUAGUCAAUGCUAUGAUGUCACCAUGUAGUUUUCAUUAAUAUCUUGCUGUGGGCUAAUACUAAUAUGAAUGCCAUUUGUUAAGUGUUCAAAAAGCUGGGCAGGAACAAGCUGGUAAAAAAGGGAACCUUACAGAUGUUUUGUUUGUUACUAUCAUAGAUAAAUAUACCAGUAUCGUAUCGUAUUUGUGGUAUCGUAUCGUAAGUAUCGGGUAUCGUGAUAUUUUGGCAGGUAUAGUAUCGAAGUCAUAAUUUUGAUAUCGUGACAACCCUAGUCAGGAGUGUGUGUGUGGGUCAGGUGUGUGUUAGUCAGGAGUGUGUGUGGGUCAGGUGUGUGUGUGUGUUAGACAGGUGUGUGUGUGUUAGUCAGGUGUGUGUUAGUCAGGAGUGUGUGUGGGUCAGGUGUGUGUGUGUGUUAGACAGGUGUGUGUGUGUUAGUCAGGAGUGUGUGUGUGGGUCAGGUGUGUGUUAGUCAGGAGUGUGUGUUUGGUCAGGUGUGUGUUAGUCAGGAGUGUGUU
This is a long non-coding RNA of Clupea harengus (Atlantic herring), 1081 nucleotides long. NCBI's taxonomy places the organism in Eukaryota, Metazoa, Chordata, Actinopteri, Clupeiformes, Clupeidae. The record is from Ensembl.